Molecule: non-coding RNA, 116 nt
Organism: Mesocricetus auratus (golden hamster)
Lineage: Eukaryota; Metazoa; Chordata; Mammalia; Rodentia; Cricetidae
Source: Rfam
AUCUACGGCCAUAUCACCCUGAAUGCGCCCAAUCUCAUCCGAUCUUGGAAGCUAAGCCGGGUCGGGCCUGGUUAGUACUUGGAUGGGAGAAAUUUGUAGUCCUCCUGCCGAAUAGA